AGAGUUUGAUCAUGGCUCAGAACGAACGCUGGCGGCAGGCUUAACACAUGCAAGUCGAACGCGUGUAGCAAUACACGAGUGGCGCACGGGUGAGUAACACGUGGAUUAUCUGCCUCUUGGUUCGGAAUAACCCCGGGAAACUGGGGCUAAUACCGAAUGGUUCCUACGGGAUAAAGAUUUAUCGCCAAGAGAUGAGUCCGCGUCCGAUUAGCUAGUUGGUGGGGUAAUGGCCUACCAAGGCGACGAUCGGUAGCUGGUCUGAGAGGACGAUCAGCCACACUGGGACUGAGACACGGCCCAGACUCCUACGGGAGGCAGCAGUGGGGAAUAUUGGACAAUGGGGGCAACCCUGAUCCAGCCAUGCCGCGUGAGUGAUGAAGGCCUUCGGGUUGUAAAGCUCUUUUGGCGGGGACGAUGAUGACGGUACCCGCAGAAUAAGCCCCGGCUAACUUCGUGCCAGCAGCCGCGGUAAGACGAAGGGGGCUAGCGUUGUUCGGAAUUACUGGGCGUAAAGCGCGUGUAGGCGGUUGUUCAAGUCGGGUGUGAAAGCCUUGAGCUCAACUCAAGAAAUGCACUCGAUACUGGAUGACUUGAGGACCGGAGAGGAUAGUGGAAUUCCCAGUGUAGUGGUGAAAUACGUAGAGAUUGGGAAGAACACCAGUGGCGAAGGCGGCUAUCUGGACGGUUUCUGACGCUAAGACGCGAAAGCGUGGGGAGCAAACAGGAUUAGAUACCCCUGUAGUCC
Molecule: ribosomal RNA, 745 nt
Filed under: uncultured bacterium
Lineage: Bacteria
Description: bacterial SSU rRNA
Rfam family: Bacterial small subunit ribosomal RNA
Source: RNAcentral